UACGGAGGGCACAAGCGUUGUUCGGAAUCACUGGGCAUAAAGGGUGCGUAGGCGGCUGUGCAUGUCGGUUGUGAAAUCCUUCCGCUUAACGGGAGAAUUGCUUCCGAAACUGCAUGGCUUGAGGAUGUCAGGGGAGAGUGGAAUUCCUGGUGGAGCGGUGAAAUGCGUAGAUAUCAGGAAGAACGCCGGUGCCGAAGGGGACUCUCUGGGGCAUUCCUGACGCUGAGGCACGAAAGCCAGGGGAGCGAACGGG
This 253-nucleotide unclassified non-coding RNA is filed under the name uncultured Planctomycetota bacterium. Its description in RNAcentral is "uncultured planctomycete contains 16S-23S intergenic spacer region". It matches the Rfam family "Bacterial small subunit ribosomal RNA", at positions 524 to 776 of the family's 1533-position model. Lineage: Bacteria; Pseudomonadati; Planctomycetota. The record is from RNAcentral.